RNAcentral lists this ribosomal RNA (612 nucleotides) under Naganishia uzbekistanensis. RNAcentral's name for it is "eukaryotic LSU rRNA". It matches the Rfam family "Eukaryotic large subunit ribosomal RNA", at positions 71 to 672 of the family's 3401-position model. Lineage: Eukaryota; Fungi; Basidiomycota; Tremellomycetes; Filobasidiales; Filobasidiaceae. The record is from RNAcentral.
AGGGAUCCCCUAGUACGGCGAGUGAAGCGGGAAGAGCUCAAAUUUGAAAUCUGGUAGCCUUCGGCUGCCCGAGUUGUAAUCUAGAGAAGUGUUUUCCGUGCCGGCCCAUGUACAAGUCCCUUGGAACAGGGCGUCAUAGAGGGUGAGAAUCCCGUCCUUGACAUGGACCCCCGGUGCUUUGUGAUACACUUUCAACGAGUCGAGUUGUUUGGGAAUGCAGCUCAAAAUGGGUGGUGAAUUCCAUCUAAAGCUAAAUAUUGGCGAGAGACCGAUAGCGAACAAGUACCGUGAGGGAAAGAUGAAAAGCACUUUGGAAAGAGAGUUAAACAGUACGUGAAAUUGUUGAAAGGGAAACGAUUGAAGUCAGUCAUGCUCUUUGGAUUCAGCCGUUCUGCGGUGUAUUUCCAUUGAGUGGGGUCAACAUCAGUUUUGACCGCUGGAUAAAGGCACUAGGAAGGUAGCACUCUCGGGUGAACUUAUAGCCUAGCGUCAUAUACAGUGGUUGGGACUGAGGAACGCAGCAUGCCUUUAUGGCCGGGAUUCGUCCACGUACAUGCUUAGGAUGUUGACAUAAUGGCUUUAAACGACCCGCUAAAAAAAAAAAAACACAAA